UGGGGAAUAUUGCACAAUGGGCGCAAGCCUGAUGCAGCAAUGCCGCGUGUGUGAAGAAGGCCCGAGGGUUGUAAAGCACUUUCAAUAGUGAGGAAAAGUUAGUAGUUAAUACCUGCUAGCCCUGACGUUAACUAUAGAAGAAGCACCGGCUAACUCCGUGCCAGCAGCCGCGGUAAUACGGAGGGUGCGAGCGUUAAUCGGAAUUACUGGGCGUAAAGCGCGCGUAGGCGGCUUGGUCAGUCGGAUGUGAAAGCCCUGGGCUUAACCUGGGAACUGCAUUCGAUACUGCCUGGCUAGAGUAUGAUAGAGGUAAGUGGAAUUCCUGGUGUAGCGGUGAAAUGCGUAGAUAUCAGGAGGAACAUCAGUGGCGAAGGCGGCUUACUGGAUCAAUACUGACGCUGAGGUGCGAAAGCGUGGGGAGCAAACAGGAUUAGAUACCCCCGUAGUCC
RNAcentral lists this ribosomal RNA (449 nucleotides) under uncultured prokaryote. RNAcentral describes it as "bacterial SSU rRNA". It matches the Rfam family "Bacterial small subunit ribosomal RNA", at positions 355 to 796 of the family's 1533-position model. The record is from RNAcentral.